RNAcentral lists this transfer RNA (71 nucleotides) under Loxodonta africana (African savanna elephant). It matches the Rfam family "tRNA". From Rfam's summary of the family: Transfer RNA (tRNA) molecules are approximately 80 nucleotides in length. Their secondary structure includes four short double-helical elements and three loops (D, anti-codon, and T loops). Lineage: Eukaryota; Metazoa; Chordata; Mammalia; Proboscidea; Elephantidae. The record is from Rfam by way of RNAcentral.
GCAGUGGUGGCUCAGUGGUAGAAUUUUUGCCUUCCAUGCGGGUGACUUGGGUUCGAUGCCCAGCCAAUACG